This 471-nucleotide ribosomal RNA is filed under the name uncultured Rhodocyclaceae bacterium. Its description in RNAcentral is "bacterial SSU rRNA". It matches the Rfam family "Bacterial small subunit ribosomal RNA", at positions 912 to 1382 of the family's 1533-position model. Lineage: Bacteria; Pseudomonadati; Pseudomonadota; Betaproteobacteria; Rhodocyclales; Rhodocyclaceae. The record is from RNAcentral.
AGACGGAGACCCGCACAAGCGGUGGAUGAUGUGGAUUAAUUCGAUGCAACGCGAAAACCUUACCUACCCUUGACAUGUCCGGAAUCCCGAAGAGAUUUGGGAGUGCUCGCAAGAGAACCGGAACACAGGUGCUGCAUGGCUGUCGUCAGCUCGUGUCGUGAGAUGUUGGGUUAAGUCCCGCAACGAGCGCAACCCUUGUCAUUAGUUGCCAUCAUUUGGUUGGGCACUCUAAUGAGACUGCCGGUGACAAACCGGAGGAAGGUGGGGAUGACGUCAAGUCCUCAUGGCCCUUAUGGGUAGGGCUUCACACGUCAUACAAUGGUCGGUACAGAGGGUUGCCAACCCGCGAGGGGGAGCUAAUCCCACAAAGCCGAUCGUAGUCCGGAUCGCAGUCUGCAACUCGACUGCGUGAAGUCGGAAUCGCUAGUAAUCGUGGAUCAGCAUGUCACGGUGAAUACGUUCCCGGGUCUU